This 449-nucleotide ribosomal RNA is filed under the name uncultured bacterium. Its description in RNAcentral is "partial 16S ribosomal RNA". It matches the Rfam family "Bacterial small subunit ribosomal RNA", at positions 29 to 523 of the family's 1533-position model. The record is from RNAcentral.
AACGAACGCUGGCGGCAUGCCUAACACAUGCAAGUCGAACGAGAUCUUCGGGUCUAGUGGCGCACGGGUGCGUAACGCGUGGGAAUCUGCCCUUUGGUUCGGAAUAACAGUUGGAAACGACUGCUAAUACCGGAUGAUGACGAAAGUCCAAAGAUUUAUCGCCAGAGGAUGAGCCCGCAUAGGAUUAGCUAGUUGGUGUGGUAAAGGCGCACCAAGGCGACGAUCCUUAGCUGGUCUGAGAGGAUGAUCAGCAACACUGGGACUGAGACACGGCCCAGACUCCUACGGGAGGCAGCAGUGGGGAAUAUUGGACAAUGGGCGAAAGCCUGAUCCAGCAAUGCCGCGUGAGUGAUGAAGGCCUUAGGGUUGUAAAGCUCUUUUACCCGGGAUGAUAAUGACAGUACCGGGAGAAUAAGCUCCGGCUAACUCCGUGCCAGCAGCCGCGGUAA